AUACGUAGGUGACAAGCGUUAUCCGGAUUUACUGGGUGUAAAGGGCGUGUAGGCGGUUUAGCAAGUCAGAAGUGAAAUUCCCGGGCUUAACUUGGGCGCUGCUUCUGAAACUGCUUUACUUGAGUGCUGGAGAGGAUAGUGGAAUUCCUAGUGUAGCGGUAAAAUGCUCAGAUAUUAGGAAGAAAACCGGUGGCGAAGGCGGCUUACUGGGCUUUUACUGACGCUGAGGCUCGAAAGCGUGGGGAGCAAACAGGAUUAGAUACCCUGGUAUUCCACGCUGUAAACGAUGAAUACUAGGUGUGGGGGGACUGACCCCCUCCGUGCCGCAGUUAACACAAUAAGUAUUCCACCUGGGGAGUACGAUCGCAAGAUUGAAACUUAAAGGAAUUGGCGGGG
This 396-nucleotide ribosomal RNA is filed under the name uncultured bacterium. Its description in RNAcentral is "partial 16S ribosomal RNA". It matches the Rfam family "Bacterial small subunit ribosomal RNA", at positions 523 to 918 of the family's 1533-position model. The record is from RNAcentral.